CCUACGGGUGGCAGCAGUGGGGAAUAUUGCGCAAUGGGCGAAAGCCUGACGCAGCGACGCCGCGUGAGGGAUGAAGGUCUUCGGAUCGUAAACCUCUGUCAGUAGGGAAGAACGGUCACUGUGCUAAUCAGCAGUGAAUUGACGGUACCUGCAAAGGAAGCACCGGCUAACUCCGUGCCAGCAGCCGCGGUAAUACGGAGGGUGCGAGCGUUAAUCGGAAUUACUGGGCGUAAAGCGCUCGUAGGCGGUAUGUUAAGUCAAGGGUGAAAUCCCCGCGCUCAACGUGGGAACUGCCUUUGAAACUGGGAGACUGGAGUGUGUGAGAGGAUAGUGGAAUUCCAGGUGUAGGGGGGAAAUCCGUAGAUAUGUGGAGGAACAUCAGUGGCGAAGGCGACUAUCUGGCACAUAACUGACGCUGAGGAGCGAAAGCGUGGGGAGCAAACAGGAUUAGAUACCCGAGUAGUC
RNAcentral lists this ribosomal RNA (465 nucleotides) under uncultured bacterium. RNAcentral's name for it is "partial 16S ribosomal RNA". It matches the Rfam family "Bacterial small subunit ribosomal RNA", at positions 338 to 795 of the family's 1533-position model. The record is from RNAcentral.